Molecule: long non-coding RNA, 1151 nt
Filed under: Junco hyemalis (dark-eyed junco)
Lineage: Eukaryota; Metazoa; Chordata; Aves; Passeriformes; Passerellidae
Description: lncRNA (ENSJHYG00000012119.1)
Source: RNAcentral
ACAGUUUUUAAGCAGUGUUUUUUAUUCCCUGAAUAAAAAUGAAAAAAAGACCCCAACCCUACACCUUUUUAUGCUAACAGUUAAACUGGAAGACUGAAACAGAAAGAUGCUUUUUUACAUUUCGAUCAAACGACUGAAAACCUGCUAGCUCAAGAUAAAAGCCAUGAUCUUAGGAUCUUUGGGAAAGAAAGGGGAAAAAAAAGAAAGAAAGAACACUGAAGGAUUGAAGAAAUAUGUAAAUGAAAGAUGACAGAAUUUAGUUGUUUUGGCCAAAAAUACAAGCAACACCUAAAAAUCUUUACAAUAAGCCUUUGCUGUAGUCAAAUUAUUAGCAGCUGCCUUUCCCAGCACUUGCUACUGCCUCCUGACACAGCUUGCUCACUCACUCGUCCAGUGCAUGACUGGGCAAUCUUUUAAAGCUCUUCUUAGUUUACCCUGUAAGCGCAGGGCAUCUCGCAAAAGCGACUACGUGGUCUGGGAUCCCCACAAACGACUACGUAACUUCUUCAAUAGUUGCACCGUUAAUUACAAAGAAACCAAAUGAAAAAAAAUACAUAAAAUGACAGUGUUCUUGUGAGUAAGUAUUUUUCCCCUGUGUCAAGACAACCAAUUUAACUGCAGAUGCCAACUAAAAACCUGGUCGACACCAGCGUUGAAGAACGGGCAAGGAAAGGCACUCCAGCUCCCACGGGAGUUCUAUUUUCCACAGCCGUGUCCGUAGCUGAUGGAGAGGGGAGGGAAGCUGGAGCCGACGGCUCCCCACACCGCGGAACACCAAGCGAGAAACCCCCCGCGAAAACCUCGCGGAAGAAACUUCACUACACUUCAGCAGCGAGAAGUUUGGCCAAGGAUUUUACGGACCCCUCGCAUCCUCUCUUCGGUGACCCACCUCGCUCAGUCCUCACAGUGAGCAUCUCUGCAGACCAGCACUGACCUGCCAAGCACACGGCCGCCCAAAGCCCGUGCCACUCAAGCAUGGAACGCUUGUCCUGAGAGCAACAGCAACCACUUGUACACUCAGCACUGGCCAUGCCACUUAGUUAAAAUAUAGAAAACCUUUACAAGAUGCAAUCAUUUUUUAAAUGUGUGCAUCACAUAUAUCCAUGUACACAUCUGUCACACUUCAAUAAAAAUAAACGCUCUUAAGUACA